CUUGGUAUUCAUUGGCAUAUUUCAUACAAUCUUCCAACAUCUUUGGCAAAUAAAACACAUAUUUACUGAUUGAUCAUUGCAUCUUGUGGCCUACUUGAUGAGCUCCAUUUCCUUCAUAAACUUCACAUGUCAUUAGUAUGGACUCCUCUUCACCAAGACAUCUCAGUAUUAAUCCAUCUAAUUGUUUCUUAUAUAGCUUGUCACCUAUUAAUACACAAUUCAUGGCCCUCAACUUCGCCUUCCUCUCAAUCUUGGCUGAAGAAUCUAUCAAAUAUUAGAUGAUAAGGUACCCCUAAUCUCCCUUGUCGACAUCUAGGGCAUAUAUCUCACAUGAUGUUGGUACAUCAACCUGCCUUUCAAAUAUAGGUGAUAGUAAUCUUUUCUCGAUAGUAAUAAAUUUAACAUAGAUAUUUUCAAGUAUUUUGACUCCUGAAGAUGUCUAUGCUAAUUCAUUAGCUUCCUAGAUUUUGACUCAGGUAACAAACUUCAAAAUUACCUCAACCAAACUCUCGAUCAAUUUUAUUGCCUCCAUGUGAUUUCUCACGAGCAUCUCACUAUAACACUUAUAUUCUC
Molecule: long non-coding RNA, 573 nt
Filed under: Phoenix dactylifera (date palm)
Lineage: Eukaryota; Viridiplantae; Streptophyta; Magnoliopsida; Arecales; Arecaceae
Description: long non-coding RNA (PDAC_LNC007622)
Source: RNAcentral